GAACGAGAGAGUGGAGCAUCCAUGAGUACAGUGGCGUACGGGUGAGUAACACGUGGGUAAUCUACCUUUUAGUGAGGAAUAACCGAGGGAAACUUCGGCUAAUACCGCAUAAGCCUGAGAAGGGAAAGCAGAAAUGCGCUGAAAGAGGAGCCCGCGGCCGAUUAGCUAGUUGGUGAGGUAAGAGCCCACCAAGGCAGAGAUCGGUAGCCGGCCUGAGAGGGCACACGGCCACACUGGCACUGAAACACGGGCCAGACUCCUACGGGAGGCAGCAGUGGGGAAUCUUGCACAAUGGGGGAAACCCUGAUGCAGCGACGCCGCGUGAGCGAUGAAGCCCUUCGGGGUGUAAAGCUCUUUCGUCAGGGAAGAUAGUGACGGUACCGAGAGAAGAAGCCCCGGCUAACUCUGUGCCAGCAGCCGCGGUAAUACAGGGGGGGCAAGCGUUGUUCGGAAUUACUGGGCGUAAAGGGCCAGUAGGCGGCCAACUAAGUCCGACGUGAAAUCCCCAGGCUUAACCUGGGAACUGCGUCGGAUACUGGAUGGCUUGAAUUCGGGAGAGGGAUGCAGAAUUCCAGGUGUAGCGGUGAAAUGCGUAGAUAUCUGGAGGAAUACCGGUGGCGAAGGCGGCAUCCUGGACCGACAUUGACGCUGAACGGCGAAAGCUAGGGGAGNCAACGGGAUUAGAUACCCCGGUAGUCCUAGCCCUAAACGAUGAAUGCUGGGUGUGG
This 728-nucleotide ribosomal RNA is filed under the name uncultured bacterium. RNAcentral's name for it is "bacterial SSU rRNA". It matches the Rfam family "Bacterial small subunit ribosomal RNA", at positions 64 to 825 of the family's 1533-position model. The record is from RNAcentral.